GACGAACGCUGGCGGCGUGCCUAAUACAUGCAAGUAGAACGCACAGUUUAUACCGUAGCUUGCUACACCAUAAACUGUGAGUUGCGAACGGGUGAGUAACGCGUAGGUAACCUGCCUGGUAGCGGGGGAUAACUAUUGGAAACGAUAGCUAAUACCGCAUAAUAUUGAUUAUUGCAUGAUAAUUGAUUGAAAGAUGCUAUUGCAUCACUACCAGAUGGACCUGCGUUGUAUUAGCUAGUAGGUGAGGUAACGGCUCACCUAGGCGACGAUACAUAGCCGACCUGAGAGGGUGAUCGGCCACACUGGGACUGAGACACGGCCCAGACUCCUACGGGAGGCAGCAGUAGGGAAUCUUCGGCAAUGGACGAAAGUCUGACCGAGCAACGCCGCGUGAGUGAAGAAGGUUUUCGGAUCGUAAAGCUCUGUUGUAAGAGAAGAGCGGGUGUGAGAGUGGAAAGUUCACACUGUGACGGUAUCUUACCAGAAAGGGACGGCUAACUACGUG
RNAcentral lists this ribosomal RNA (505 nucleotides) under uncultured bacterium. RNAcentral describes it as "partial 16S ribosomal RNA". It matches the Rfam family "Bacterial small subunit ribosomal RNA", at positions 28 to 507 of the family's 1533-position model. The record is from RNAcentral.